CGGUGCCUAUUAGUAGCGGACUGGUGAGUACGCGUGGGUGACCUGCACUUGAGGAUGGGGAUAGCCGUUAGAAAUAGCGGGUAAUACCGACAUAAUGUUGUCCUGUUAUGACUGGAUAAAGAAAGGGGCUAUGAGCCCCGCCUUAAGAUGGGCCCGCGUCCCAUUAGCUAGUUGGUAAGGUAAAGGCUUACCAAGGGCGAUGAUGGGUAGCCGGCCUGCAGAGUGGUGAACUGGCCACACUGGGACUGAGAUACGGCCCACGACUCCUACGGGAGGCAGCAGCUAAGAAUAUUCCGCAAUGGACGAAAGUCUGACGGAGCGACGCCGCGUGGAUGAGGAAGGCCGAAGGUUGUCACAAUCCUUUUGCGGAAUGAAGCAAUACGUGUCGGGAGGGAAUGCCCGCCAUGAUGACGUUAGUCCUGUGAAUAACUGCCCCG
RNAcentral lists this ribosomal RNA (437 nucleotides) under uncultured bacterium. RNAcentral's name for it is "bacterial SSU rRNA". It matches the Rfam family "Bacterial small subunit ribosomal RNA", at positions 83 to 495 of the family's 1533-position model. The record is from RNAcentral.